GGGCCCGCACAAGCGGUGGAGUAUGUGGUUUAAUUCGAUGCAACGCGAAGAACCUUACCAGGGUUUGACAUCCUGCGAAUCUCUUGGAAACGAGAGAGUGCCUUCGGGAACGCAGUGACAGGUGGUGCAUGGCUGUCGUCAGCUCGUGUCGUGAGAUGUUGGGUUAAGUCCCGCAACGAGCGCAACCCUUGUCCUUAGUUGCCAGCAUUUAGUUGGGGGACUCGUAGGAGACUGCCGGGGUCAACUCGGAGGAAGGUGGGGAUGACGUCAAGUCAUCAUGCCCCUUAUGCCCAGGGCUGCAAACACGCUACAAUGGCUGGUACAGAGGGCUGCGAACCCCGCGAGGGCAAGCG
Molecule: ribosomal RNA, 353 nt
Filed under: uncultured bacterium
Lineage: Bacteria
Description: bacterial SSU rRNA
Rfam family: Bacterial small subunit ribosomal RNA
Source: RNAcentral